This is a long non-coding RNA of Dromaius novaehollandiae (emu), 533 nucleotides long. RefSeq lists it as uncharacterized. The transcript is spliced from 4 exons. NCBI's taxonomy places the organism in Eukaryota, Metazoa, Chordata, Aves, Casuariiformes, Dromaiidae. The record is from RefSeq and is a predicted model, not a curated record.
UAACGAACGCACUUUAAAGUGACAGCAGUGCAAGUCAUUCAGAAUUUGUUGUGCUAAGUUUUUAAGGAUAUUUACAGUAAUUGCCAGCAAUAUACGAAACAGCUACAGAAAAAUGCAUUUGUGACUCCAGAUAAAUGUCAAGUUUCAGAUACAUCUCCUGCAAGGUCAACAGGAGUUACCUCCACACCGCCAAAAGUAUUGCUGAAUACCAUGUUGAAUAAGAUCCAAAGAUUUUCAGACUCCUUUGAGACCUGAUGCUGGGAAGCUUUACUUGAAAAUAGUCCUCGAUGCCAGCAGCUUCCUAGCAAAUUCCCACCGAAGAAUGUGAUGCUAUCUACACCCUUCAAAUGCCACUCCUGUCUCUGCUCCUGUACGAACCUACCCGAUCACUCGAUUAGAGAUGUUACGGGAAGAUUGUCUGACCUUAGGAGAUGCAGAUUCAACUCAAAGGGAUUUAUCCAGUGAAUUCAGAGGACCCAUGUUACAUAGCAGAUUGGUGAAAAGGAUCACAACGGGCCAUACCUGCUAACAUU